Long non-coding RNA from Capsella rubella, 622 nucleotides. RefSeq lists it as uncharacterized. The transcript is spliced from 2 exons. The record is from RefSeq and is a predicted model, not a curated record. Lineage: Eukaryota; Viridiplantae; Streptophyta; Magnoliopsida; Brassicales; Brassicaceae.
AUUAAAGUUGGCAUUAAAUAAUUUUGCUAUAUACAAUAAGAGACUACAAUUUUUGAAAUAUGUAAUUUUUUCGUUUUUUUUUUAUUUCCUUUGGGGAAAGACAAAACGGUUGUCUCGAACCGGAAAGCAAAAAAAAAAAAAUAAAGUUAGCAACUUUGGAAAAUGGCUUCUCAGCUUACACAACCUUUUGCCCUUUCUCUCUUCUCUUCUUUUAGCCGUUGCUUUUUAACCCUUUCAUCGAUCGUGUCCAUCAAUCAAUACCCAUUUUUCUAUUUUUUCAAUCGAACCGAAGAAAAACUGAGAAAAAAGUUGCGAUUUUUCACCGCCGCCGUCGCCGUAGUUCAUUAUCGGCGGCGGCGAGCGGUAUUAUAAACCGGACUUGCCACUCUUUCUCUGUAAGACCACCCCCGACAUUGAUGUAUUCGAACAGUGACUGAGACUGAGACAGAGACAGGAACAGAGAGAGAUUGGGGGGGACAUAAGGCAGACAGAAGAAGAAGAUGAUGAUAGAUACGAUUCGUUGGUGAUGUUUAUGUUUAUGUGAAAUCUUUUUUUACUACUUUGCAAAUCAUUCUUUUGUUCCUCUUCAAGAAGACUAUAUAAAAUUAUGGCCUCUUCUGUG